This 111-nucleotide microRNA precursor is filed under the name Bigelowiella natans CCMP2755. RNAcentral describes it as "miRNA EPrBNAG00000013140". Lineage: Eukaryota; Cercozoa; Chlorarachniophyceae. The record is from RNAcentral.
UAAGGAGACGUAGAUGGUGAUGAUGAUGAUGAUGAAUCAAAAUUACAUGCUAUCGAGUAGUUCAUAAUACAGAAAUCAUCCUCAUCAUCGUCAUCACCGCCAUCAUCACCA